UACGGAGGGAGCUAGCGUUGUUCGGAAUUACUGGGCGUAAAGCGCACGUAGGCGGCUUUGUAAGUUAGAGGUGAAAGCCUGGGGCUCAACUCCGGAAUUGCCUUUAAGACUGCAUCGCUUGAAUCAUGGAGAGGCGAGUGGAAUUCCGAGUGUAGAGGUGAAAUUCGUAGAUAUUCGGAAGAACACCAGUGGCGAAGGCGGCUCGCUGGACAUGUAUUGACGCUGAGGUGCGAAAGCGUGGGGAGCAAACAGG
This 253-nucleotide ribosomal RNA is filed under the name uncultured bacterium. RNAcentral describes it as "partial 16S ribosomal RNA". It matches the Rfam family "Bacterial small subunit ribosomal RNA", at positions 524 to 776 of the family's 1533-position model. The record is from RNAcentral.